UCUCUUACCCAUGUUUUAUGAGCACUUACGUUUCCUCGGUGGGUUCGCCCACCGAUUGGACCACUUAAACCCUUUGCAGUUUUGUAAUCAGCGUCUGAAAAACUUAAUAGUUACAACUUUCAACAACGGAUCUCUUGGUUCUGGCAUCGAUGAAGAACGCAGCGAAAUGCGAUAAGUAGUGUGAAUUGCAGAAUUCAGUGAAUCAUCGAAUCUUUGAACGCACAUUGCGCCCCUUGGUAUUCCAUGGGGCAUGCCUGUUCGAGCGUCAUUUGUACCUUCAAGCUCUGCUUGGUGUUGGGUGUUUGUCUCGCCUCUGCGUGUAGACUCGCCUUAAAACAAUUGGCAGCCGGCGUAUUGAUUUCGGAGCGCAGUACAUCUCGCGCUUUGCACUCAUAACGACGACGUCCAAAAGUACAUUUUUACACUCUUGACCUCGGAUCAGGUAGGGAU
Molecule: ribosomal RNA, 450 nt
Filed under: fungal sp. 50A-T-3b-1
Lineage: Eukaryota; Fungi
Description: eukaryotic LSU rRNA
Rfam family: 5.8S ribosomal RNA (bases 115-268)
Source: RNAcentral